This 413-nucleotide ribosomal RNA is filed under the name uncultured bacterium. RNAcentral describes it as "bacterial SSU rRNA". It matches the Rfam family "Bacterial small subunit ribosomal RNA", at positions 32 to 424 of the family's 1533-position model. The record is from RNAcentral.
AAUCAACGCUGGCGGCGUGCCUCAGACAUGCAAGUCGAACGCGAAAGUUCCCUUCGGGGAGCGAGUAGAGUGGCGCACGGGUGAGUAUCACGUAGGUAAUUUACCUUCGGGUGGGAAUAACAGCCGGAAACGGCUGCUAAUACCGCAUAAUGCAGCGGCUCGACAUCGAGACAGUUGUUAAAGCGGGGGAGUCGCAAGACCUCGCGCCUGAAGAGAAGCCUGCGGCAGAUUAGCUAGUUGGUGGGGUAAUGGCUCACCAAGGCGACGAUCUGUAGCCGGCCUGAGAGGGCGGUCGGCCACACUGACACUGACAUACGGGUCAGACUCCUACGGGAGGCAGCAGUCGGGAAUUUUGGGCAAUGGGCGAAAGCCUGACCCAGCAACGCCGCGUGAAGGAUGAAAUCCCUCGGGAU